Molecule: long non-coding RNA, 579 nt
Filed under: Homo sapiens (human)
Lineage: Eukaryota; Metazoa; Chordata; Mammalia; Primates; Hominidae
Description: LHRI_LNC1216.1
Source: RNAcentral
UAAGGACACCAGCAUUCCUGAGUUGUGAGUCACAAGGGAGAGAUGAUCAUUGGACAUUUUGUAAAUUUUUCAUUUUGUUUAUCAUAUUAUUGUUUUUAUAGGCGAGAUAUUGCUGUGUUGGCCGGGCUGGAGUGCAGUGGGGCAAUUUUAGCUCACUGCAGCAUCCAACUUCUGGUUCAAGCAAUCCUCUCACUUCAGCCUUCCAAGUAGUUAGGACUACAGGCAUAUGCUGCUGUGCUCAGCUAACUUUUUCAUUUUUUGUAGAGACAGGAUCUCACUUUGGAAGGCAGCUAUGCUCACCACUACACUGCCAACACCAGGAUCUCACUUUGUUGCCCAAGCUGGUCUUGAACUCCCGGACUCAAGCAACCCUCUUGCCUCAGCCUCCUAAAGUGCUGAGAUUACAGGCGUGAACCACACCAUGCCUGGCCCAUUUUGUCAAUUAAGUGUUUUGGAAAUGCUACUUGUUCAUUAUAAUCAAUCAGUAAAGGAUAAUUAUUGUAGAAAUUAGUAUUUACUAAGAGUUGAAAAAGCAUUCAGCUCUUUUUUUUUUGGCAGAGCUAGCUGAGGUUUUAUUUU